RNAcentral lists this ribosomal RNA (1288 nucleotides) under Salmonella enterica. Its description in RNAcentral is "partial 23S ribosomal RNA". It matches the Rfam family "Bacterial large subunit ribosomal RNA", at positions 1660 to 2925 of the family's 2925-position model. The record is from RNAcentral. Lineage: Bacteria; Pseudomonadati; Pseudomonadota; Gammaproteobacteria; Enterobacterales; Enterobacteriaceae.
CAGGUGGUCAGGUAGAGAAUACCAAGGCGCUUGAGAGAACUCGGGUGAAGGAACUAGGCAAAAUGGUGCCGUAACUUCGGGAGAAGGCACGCUGACACGUAGGUGAAGUGAUUUACUCAUGGAGCUGAAGUCAGUCGAAGAUACCAGCUGGCUGCAACUGUUUAUUAAAAACACAGCACUGUGCAAACACGAAAGUGGACGUAUACGGUGUGACGCCUGCCCGGUGCCGGAAGGUUAAUUGAUGGGGUCAGCGCAAGCGAAGCUCCUGAUCGAAGCCCCGGUAAACGGCGGCCGUAACUAUAACGGUCCUAAGGUAGCGAAAUUCCUUGUCGGGUAAGUUCCGACCUGCACGAAUGGCGUAAUGAUGGCCAGGCUGUCUCCACCCGAGACUCAGUGAAAUUGAACUCGCUGUGAAGAUGCAGUGUACCCGCGGCAAGACGGAAAGACCCCGUGAACCUUUACUAUAGCUUGACACUGAACAUUGAGCCUUGAUGUGUAGGAUAGGUGGGAGGCUUUGAAGUGUGGACGCCAGUCUGCAUGGAGCCGGCCUUGAAAUACCACCCUUUAAUGUUUGAUGUUCUAACGUGGACCCGUUACCCGGGUUGCGGACAGUGUCUGGUGGGUAGUUUGACUGGGGCGGUCUCCUCCUAAAGAGUAACGGAGGAGCACGAAGGUUGGCUAAUCCUGGUCGGACAUCAGGAGGUUAGUGCAAUGGCAUAAGCCAGCUUGACUGCGAGCGUGACGGCGCGAGCAGGUGCGAAAGCAGGUCAUAGUGAUCCGGUGGUUCUGAAUGGAAGGGCCAUCGCUCAACGGAUAAAAGGUACUCCGGGGAUAACAGGCUGAUACCGCCCAAGAGUUCAUAUCGACGGCGGUGUUUGGCACCUCGAUGUCGGCUCAUCACAUCCUGGGGCUGAAGUAGGUCCCAAGGGUAUGGCUGUUCGCCAUUUAAAGUGGUACGCGAGCUGGGUUUAGAACGUCGUGAGACAGUUCGGUCCCUAUCUGCCGUGGGCGCUGGAGAACUGAGGGGGGCUGCUCCUAGUACGAGAGGACCGGAGUGGACGCAUCACUGGUGUUCGGGUUGUCAUGCCAAUGGCACUGCCCGGUAGCUAAAUGCGGAAGAGAUAAGUGCUGAAAGCAUCUAAGCACGAAACUUGCCCCGAGAUGAGUUCUCCCUGAGACUUAGAGUCUCCUGAAGGAACGUUGAAGACGACGACGUUGAUAGGCCGGGUGUGUAAGCGCAGCGAUGCGUUGAGCUAACCGGUACUAAUGAACCGUGAGGCUUAACCUU